Molecule: ribosomal RNA, 517 nt
Filed under: uncultured bacterium
Lineage: Bacteria
Description: bacterial SSU rRNA
Rfam family: Bacterial small subunit ribosomal RNA
Source: RNAcentral
GCAGCGACGCCGCGUGGGGGAUGACGGCCUUCGGGUUGUAAACCUCUUUCGUAGGGACGAAGCGUGAGUGACGGUACCUACAGAAGAAGGACCGGCCAACUACGUGCCAGCAGCCGCGGUAAUACGUAGGGUCCGAGCGUUGUCCGGAAUUACUGGGCGUAAAGAGCUCGUAGGUGGUUUGUCGCGUUGUUCGUGAAAACCGGGGGCUUAACCCUCGGCGUGCGGGCGAUACGGGCAGACUUGAGUACUGCAGGGGAGACUGGAAUUCCUGGUGUAGCGGUGGAAUGCGCAGAUAUCAGGAGGAACACCGGUGGCGAAGGCGGGUCUCUGGGCAGUAACUGACGCUGAGGAGCGAAAGCGUGGGGAGCGAACAGGAUUAGAUACCCUGGUAGUCCACGCCGUAAACGGUGGGUACUAGGUGUGGGUUUCCUUCCUUGGGAUCCGUGCCGUAGCUAACGCAUUAAGUACCCCGCCUGGGGAGUACGGCCGCAAGGCUAAAACUCAAAGGAAUUGACGG